Molecule: long non-coding RNA, 507 nt
Filed under: Vigna radiata
Lineage: Eukaryota; Viridiplantae; Streptophyta; Magnoliopsida; Fabales; Fabaceae
Description: long non-coding RNA (VRAD_LNC006342)
Source: RNAcentral
GGUGAGAAGAAGAAGAGGAAGAAGUGGUGAGGUAGUGAGGUGAAGGCUUGUUGGUGACACAUACAUGCAGGACGCAUGUGACAAUGACAGUGAUUGUAAAAGUUAGAGAAGGAAGUGGAGGAGGAAGAAAAGGUGGAGGAAGAGAAAAUACUUGCCCAAAGUUGAAAAUGACCUGAAGGUGGUGGUGGUAAUACAAGAAAGACAAUGAGGAGGAAAACCGUCCAUAAUAUUUUGCAAAACUGCUUUUUCCAGCAUUUUUUACAACUGUGAGAAACAUAUUUUUCAAGAGUUAAAAUCGUCGAUAACGCUAAAAAUAACUCUUAGGAAAAUUACAUAUUUUGGCCUUAGAAAGUUUAAUACUAAGAGUGUGUAGCAUCAUAACUAUCUUAAUCUCUAUAUAGAAUUAUAUAUAGUCUCUUCACUUUCAAACAUCAUAAGAGUUAUACUAUAUUUUCCAUUACUAGAAAGUGGUUCCUCCUUCAAAAAUACAAAGAUAUAAUUUUUGAG